AAUUGAAAUGGCACCAUUGUCAUAGAAAGACUGGUAACACAUUACAACAUUUGGACAUUGCGCCGAUUGAUUAAUUAUUAAUUCCUUGGCAAUUGCUUUCCUUGCAUUCUCCUCAAUAGUCAUCUGUAUAACCUUUAAUGCAAAAAACUGCCCUGUCCAUUUAUGCUGCACCAGCUGCACAAUUCCACUACUGCCCUUCCCAAUGACCUUAAUGGUGUCUAUGUCUGCCAAAUUCAA
RNAcentral lists this unclassified non-coding RNA (237 nucleotides) under Hevea brasiliensis (rubber tree). Lineage: Eukaryota; Viridiplantae; Streptophyta; Magnoliopsida; Malpighiales; Euphorbiaceae. The record is from RNAcentral.